This 119-nucleotide ribosomal RNA is filed under the name Carassius auratus (goldfish). The record is from RNAcentral. Lineage: Eukaryota; Metazoa; Chordata; Actinopteri; Cypriniformes; Cyprinidae.
GCUUACGGCCAUACCAACCUGGCUAUGCCCGAUCUCGUCUGCUCUCGGAAGCUAAGCAGGUUUGGGCCUGGUUAGUACUUGGAUGGGAGACCGCCUGGGAAUACCAGGUGCUUUAAGCU